GUCUUGAUGCUGCAUCAUAAUCGGGAAGAGUACAUCCCACAGGAAGAGAGCAAGAGGAAGCUGAGGAAGCCAAACCAGCUUUGUAAGAACCCACUCCCUCCAUCACUUACCUAUUCCCAUGAUAACUAACCCACCCAGGCCAUCAUUAACCUGCCCCGCUAGAACCAACCCACUCCCAGGACAAUGGCCUCAAACCAUUUAUGAAGAUGGAGUCCUCAUGACCUCAUCAUCACCUAAAGGUGUCACAAUGGCAGAUAAAUUUCACCGUGAGCUUUGGGGACAACUUUCACCCCCCGGCAGGAUUGAGGGCCAGAUGGGAUCCUCUCCGGCCAUGCACGCAGGAGCCACAUCAGGAGGAUCUGCCCAAAUUCAAGAUCUUCGCUGGAUCUCUUUUUAUGCCUGAGAAACACUGUGGGUCAGAAGCAGCUGAGUGUCAAAUAGAGAGCCGGUUUUAUCCCAAAGGUGGAAGGAAGAAGUUGAAACCCCAUCAGCCAGACUGACAACUUGAGAGAGAAACUACUGAGAUCAAAACAGCACUUGAAUAGUUAUGUUGAAUGGGGGUGACUCUGAAAUUCCCUGUGAUUUUUGAAUCAGAAGCAUCAGAAAUAAUACAAAUAGAGGAACAUUUUCUGCUUUAAGAUAACUCAGUGGUAAGAGGGAUGCCAACAGAUAAGCCAGUUAUAUCUAGAAUUAUAAACCAUCAUUUUGUAAUACACGAAGGUUCCUCAUGUGGUGUUAAAUACAAAUUUGGGGAUAAAUGAGCACGUGUUGAUACAGUUACUAAGUUCUCUUGGUGUCCACAUAAUCAUGAAGGUGAUAAGCAUGACUUUAUAUUUCAGAGUCCAUUUUUAAUUACCUCCUUUGCCAUUGGUGACCUCUUUCCUGCUUAGAUAUAUGCUUAGCCUCCCACCUUCUGUUUUCCCCAUCCUUUCCACCACAACCUAUUCAGUGAACAAUGUGUUACUCUUUCUUCGGUAUGUUUACAAUGCCAUUUGCUGCACGGUUAUCUCAGUGAAGUGAACAAUUUUCUCCCCACGGGAGUAGCAAGGGAAGAGCUCUUGCACUGAGUCACCCUGGCCUAGGUUAGAAGAGGGAUUAGUAUUUGUGAGGAGUCUAAAAAUUGUAAAGCAAACUGAAGACCAAUCACAUGUAGGCAAUUUUAAGCAGGAUCAGUG
RNAcentral lists this long non-coding RNA (1175 nucleotides) under Heterocephalus glaber (naked mole-rat). RNAcentral describes it as "lncRNA (ENSHGLG00000047258.1)". Lineage: Eukaryota; Metazoa; Chordata; Mammalia; Rodentia; Bathyergidae. The record is from RNAcentral.